AAAGCAGGGGAUCGUAAGACCUUGNGCUUUUGGAGUGGCCGAUGCCUGAUUAGCUAGUUGGUGGGGUAAGGGCCUACCAAGGCGACGAUCAGUAGUUGGUCUGAGAGGACGACCAGCCACACUGGGACUGAGACACGGCCCAGACUCCUACGGGAGGCAGCAGUGGGGAAUUUUGGACAAUGGGCGAAAGCCUGAUCCAGCAAUGCCGCGUGAGUGAAGAAGGCCUUCGGGUUGUAAAGCUCUUUCAGUCGAGAAGAAAAGGUUGCGACUAAUAAUCGCAACUUAUGACGGUAUCGACAGAAGAAGCACCGGCUAACUACGUGCCAGCAGCCGCGGUAAUACGUAGGGUGCGAGCGUUAAUCGGAAUUACUGGGCGUAAAGGGUGCGCAGGCGGCUCUGUAAGUCAGAUGUGAAAUCCCCGGGCUUAACCUGGGAAUUGCGUUUGAAACUACAAGGCUAGA
RNAcentral lists this ribosomal RNA (461 nucleotides) under uncultured ammonia-oxidizing beta proteobacterium. RNAcentral's name for it is "bacterial SSU rRNA". It matches the Rfam family "Bacterial small subunit ribosomal RNA", at positions 202 to 645 of the family's 1533-position model. The record is from RNAcentral. Lineage: Bacteria; Pseudomonadati; Pseudomonadota; Betaproteobacteria.